Corticium candelabrum is the source of this 1030-nucleotide long non-coding RNA. RefSeq lists it as uncharacterized. The transcript has 3 exons. Lineage: Eukaryota; Metazoa; Porifera; Homoscleromorpha; Homosclerophorida; Plakinidae. The record is from RefSeq and is a predicted model, not a curated record.
ACAUUUCAAUUGUCUUGAAUUCUUGUAUAAUACCUCACGUGCCAAAGUCACGUGCAACCAAUAACACCACUAAUGUGGUUGUAAUAAGCCAGCCCCUCCCCCUUUUUCAUUUCCGUUACUUUCCAUGCUAGAGUCCCGGAUCUUAUCUCGGUCAUUUCCUAGUCUCGGUCAUUUCCUAGUCUCGGUCAUUUCCUAGUCUCGGUCACUCGUUCUCUGCCAAAUAGCUGCAGCCAGACCUAGCUGCUACGCUAGCGUCAUAGUCCUACUGGAUAGCAACUAGGUAGAGCGGGCCACGUCAGCAUCCGUCGUAACGUUGCUGCUGUAGAACUUGAAACUGAUCGCACCUAUUCUCGGUCACAGAGUAUCAUAUCUCGGUCACAGAGUAUCAUAUCUCGGCUCCUUAUAUGACUUCCUUUCGCCAAAUUGUUGGUUUUGUCUUGUCAACAUCUACUCGCGCAGACAACGAAGAAGACGGAUGACUCACGGGACAUAAUCUCGGUCACCUGAUCUCGAGUGAUUUUCUCUCUUCAGACGCAGAUCUGAGGCGUUCUUUUGGCUCAUGUUAUAGUCAUCACCGCUGGCUACUAUACCUACGGGGUGACGUUAGUGCUCAUCGUGCUGUUGUUACGGCAGAACGUGAAAUGUGAGAGACAAAUACUCGGACAUCCGGGAUCAUAUCUCGGUCAGUCGCUUUCGUCGCGUUUCUACAAGACGAAUUGAGAUGUUAGUCAUGUCUGUUGAAAGGUUCGCUUUGGAUGUUUAUGCCACUGAAUAGCCAGUUUUGUCUCUUCAGUUUUUCUGUUGCAGGGCGGUGGGAAAGGUGAUCGACCUACGGGACAUAAUCUCGGUCACGGUAUGAGCGCACUUCUUGGGUUCUACAGCUUUCAGAUUGAUCAUCAUGGAGAUAAACAUUGAAUCCAUUCUGGCACAAGUUGAAUGGUCACAAAAGCAUGCCAGGACUCUGCAUACUUGUAAACUGUGUACGUACUAUGAUCUUGUUGAUUGUACAAGAUUUUAGCUACUUCAGUUA